This is a small nucleolar RNA of Cynocephalus volans (Philippine flying lemur), 82 nucleotides long. RefSeq annotates it as small nucleolar RNA SNORD115. The transcript has a single exon. The record is from RefSeq and is a predicted model, not a curated record. NCBI's taxonomy places the organism in Eukaryota, Metazoa, Chordata, Mammalia, Dermoptera, Cynocephalidae.
UAGUCAAUUAUGAGAAUUUAUAUUAUCUUGAAGACAGAUAAUCAUGUAAAAACCAUGGUCAAUAGGAACAAGCUGGAAACCA